CCAUAUAAGACAAACUAUAUUUUCUCUGAAUAUUUUCUUUCUUAGAAAAAUGCUAGGUAUCUUCUACAUGAGUGAGUAAGAGACACCUCUCCCAUCAGGGAAAGGUAAUAAAUAGUGUGUAUGUAAGUAUAAGGAAUAUCAGAUUAAAGAUUUUUCGUAUGUUAUAAUAUGCUCAAGAAAUAAAAAGUUUGUUUCAUAUAUCAUUUGCCAAUCUUUUGUGCUGGUAAAAAAUGAAGGUUGUGAUCUUCAGCCUUAACGGAGGAAGGACGGAGCAGUAGCCUGAGACAGUGAGUCAUAAUAGGCUAAAAAGUUCUUCAUAGACGGAAGGAGAAGCACUGUGGUGUUGAUACAACUAACAUACAAGAAAGUUGAAAGGUAUAUACAUAAACUCUACCAUUUCAUGAACAUAUUAGCAUAAAAAAAGUCUGUUUUCAUAUUUGCUCUAUACCUUCAUACAUAUUAUAUAUUACUAAGUACCUAUAGGGAAUAUAAAAUUAUGAAAUGUUUAUAUUUAUUAUCAUGAGAGUGGUACAACCACAAUUACAUUAACUUAGAAGAAAAAAAUUGGAAACCAUAAUUAUUAUAAGAAGGAUUAAUGAAGCUUUAAUAAAUUUGAGAAACUAUGGUAGAGAAAUCUAUCUUUUAAGAAAGAAUACUUCGAAUAAUCUUGUGAAAUCUAGAAUUAAUGAAGUAGAGAAGCUACUGCUUAGAGCACAAGAUAGAGAUCAAGCUUUAAAAAAUAUAUACGUUUAUCUGUUAAAAAGAUCUAAGGCUAAGUUAAAUAAAUACUUACUUAAUACUGCCUAAAGAGUCAUUAUACGAUUUUUUUAAAUGAAAAAACAUUAAUUACUAUUUUAAAAGUGAUAAAAUUAAAUAAAGAUUUACAAAAGAAAACUCUUGAAAAAAUUAUAGAUCAUCUUGUUCAAGAACAGUGGUCUAUACAUGACUAUUCGUAUGUAGAUAGUGAUGAUGAUCCAUACUAUUGGUAUGAUGAUGGUUAUUUCACUGAUUAAGUGAAUAAAAAUUCUACAUGCACACCCUGUUUGCGAAAAACUUCAUUUUAUUGAUUAAUUACUAUUUUAAAGGUGAUAAAAUUAAAUAAAGAUUUACAAGAAAAAAUUCUUAAAAAAAUUAUACAUCACCUUGUUCAAGAACAAUGGUCUAUACAUGACUAUUCGUAUGUAGAUAGUGAUGAUGAUCCAUACUAUUGGUAUGAUGAUGAUUAUUUCACUGAUUGAGUGAAUAAAAAUUCCGCAUGCACACCUUGUUUGUGAAUAGCUUCAUUUUAUUUAUUAAUUACUAUUUUAAAAGUGAUAAAAUUAAAUAAAUAUUUACAAGAAAAAAUUCUUGAAAAAAUUAUAGAUCAUCUUGUUCAAGAACAAUGGUCUAUACAUGACUAUUCGUAUGUAGAUAGUGAUGAUGAUCCAUACUAUUGGUAUGAUGAUGGUUAUUUCACUGAUUAAGUGAAUAAAAAUUCCGCAUACACACCCUGUUUGCAAACAACUUCAUAUAUAUAUAUAUAUAUAUAUAUGCAACUAAAAGAGAAUCUCACCUCCAAAAAGAUCUUGUGUUGGGGGUUUUGUGUUUGCUUAGGCAUGCCCAUGGCCCGCAUAAGUACAAUGUAGCCAUUUAUAUAGGUGAUGAUUUUCUUUUACGUACAGUUUACGAAUCUUAAUUUCUUUCCAUACAUUUUAGGACCUUUUUAAUCUUAGUACUCUUAUACUUUAUGUAUUUUAUAUAUAGCUUAGGACUCUUAAUUUCUUCACAUAUAAUUUAGGACCUAUUUUAUUAUAGGACUCAUAUGUUUUGUGUAUUUUAGGAUUUUUAAUUUUCUUUUCAUGUACUUAUUUAAUUAGAAUUCUUCCUCCAGAAAGAUCUCGUGUUGGGGUUUUUUCAUUUUUAUGUUUGCUUAGGUAUGCCCAUUUUUUUCAUGUAUUUAUUUAAUUAGGAUUCUUUUCAUAUAUUUUAGGAGUCCUUAAUUUAAUAAAAUAAUAAUUAGAGGAAAAUGGUGAAAAGAUGAUUUUUUCUAUUACGCAACUUUUAGUGAAGGGCAAAAAGUUCAAUUCACUUUUCUAAGUGUCUUCACACUUUUAAUAUAUUAUAUAGAUAUAUAAAUUAUAUAGAUAUAGAUAUAUAGAUAUAUAUAUAUAUAUAUAGUUUCAUUGAGACCCUCAUAUUUAGUAAAAUUAUGAAUUGACCCCGGCGACAAAAUAGAAACAGUUACGUCAGUUACCCAUCUCUUUCAAUAGUGACUUUUGUCAUUUAUGAUUUUCCUUAUUAGCCCUUCAACUUUCCAAGUUUUUAUAUUUGGUACUUAGCUUUUCCAUAAUUAUGGUAAUAAGGAUAAAAGAAAAAUUUAUACAAUUAGAUUACUUCAUUCAACUGCAUUGACCAUCCAGGAUCUUCGAGAGCAGAGAAAAGGAUAAAAGGAUAGGUAGCUAGCGAGAAAAAUAGUGGAUAUGGUAACAAUUACAAUGAAUUACUAGAAUAAGUUUAGUUUGUAAUUUUAUAUAUAUAUAUAUAUAUAUUGAAAACUCUUAAAUUUUAUAAUUUUUUCUAUAUUUUAUACAUAAUUUGUUUUAUAUUUAUAGUAGCAGUUGCAAAAAUAUAUAAUCAAACUACUUAUUAUAUGGUAACAAUAUAGAUAAAUUUUUACUCAGUUUGUAAUUUAAUAAAUACAUUACCUUUUCUUUAAUAUUUUUUAAGGUUAUUUUUAUUUUAUCUACUCCCCAACUUUCCAAGUUUUUCAUAUCUAACUCUAAGAUUUUUUCACAUAAUUAUGGUAACAAGAAUUAGAUCUGAUAUAUGGUAACAAUAUCAAUAAAUUUCUAGAAUAAGUUUAGUUUGUAACUUAAUAAAAAUAUUAACAUUUUUUUUAUAGUAGUUUGAUAAAUUUUAAGAAUUUUCGUUAACAACUCUCCAACUUUUCAAGUUUCUCUAUAUUUCACGCUCAAAAUUUUCAUAUUUACGAUAGCAAACAAAUAAAAAUUUAUAUGCAAUCAAAUUACUUAUGUGUGAUAAUAAUAUAUAUAAAUUUCUAUAAUAGAUUUAGUUUGUAAUUCAAUAAAAAUGUUGAACUUGUUAUAAUAUAUGUCAAAAUAUACAACUGUUAUUAGGUAUUAGCUACGAUUUUCAAAUAUGUAGUUGCACUACUAAAAAAAACUGAAAAACCGACCAUGAAAAAACGACCACAGAUUGUGAUCGGAAAAAAACUGACCACAUCUGGUCAAUAUUUUUUUUUUUUAAAUUCUUUUUAAAGCGACCACAAGUGGUCACUUUUAUAUUUUAAAAUUUCAAAAUAAUUUUUUCAACAAUUUUUAUAUUAAUUAUUAACUAUUUUAUAAAUAAAAAUUAAAAACAAAAAAAGAAAACCGACCACUUGUGGUCAGUUUUCUUAAAAAAAAUAAUUAAAAAAUAUUUUUAAAAAAACCGAGCACUAGGGGUCGGUUUUUAAUUUUAUUUUUUUAAAAAAAAUAUUUUUAAAAAAUCAACCACAAGUGGUCGGUUUUUAAUUAUUUUUUUAAAAAAAUAAUUUUUAAAAAACUGACCACAAGUGGUCGUUUUUUUUUUUCUUUUUAAAGCGCCCGCAAGUGCUCUCUUUUUUAUUUUAACANNNNNNNNNNNNNNNNNNNNNNNNNNNNNNNNNNNNNNNNNNNNNNNNNNNNNNNNNNNNNNNNUAUAUAUAUAUAUAUAUAUAUAUAUAUAUAUAUUAUUUUCAUUAGAAAUAAUUAUAUAUAUAUAUUUUUCAAAUUACACUGAUCACACGAAGUCGAUAACAGUCUAUUAUAAGGUAAUAUAAUUGUGGAUGUGAUAUAUAUAGUACUCAUUCAAGCGUUCAUAUACAUAAAUAUAUAUAUAUAUAUAUAUAUAUAUUAUUUAGUGAUUGAUUGAUGAACGAUGUAAUCAAAAUCUAUUAUUGUAUUAAAAUAAUCAAAUAUAAUUAAUCGAUAACUCAUCUGAGUAAGUAUAAGAAGCCCAUCACAUUAUAUUAUUGGAUAAUAUAUUUGUGUACGUAUGUGAUAGAUAUAGUACGUAUUUAGAACUUGAUAUAGUCGAUAGUGUGUAUAUGUGUGUAUAUGUAUAGGUAUAUCUCUCUCUAUAUAUAUAUAUAUAUGUAUGUAUAUAUACAUAUUAUACAGUACUAUGGAAUAUUAAUGACAUACGAUAAUGUAAUCGAUAAUUCAUAUGAGUAUUUAUAAAAUAUGUUGUAUAUUAUUAUGGGGUAGUAAAAUCAUGUAUUUGAUGUUUAUAAUAAGUAUCUGAAAGCUGAUAGACAAUUAAAUAUAUGUAUAUACGUAUAUCUUGUGCAGUGACAUAUGCAGUAAAUGAUAUAUAUACAAACACGUUGUAUUACGAUAUAUAUAUAUAUAGGAAGUAAUCAGAGUGGUUUACAGUUAUAAGCUUACUAUUUUUUUAUGAUUUAUCAAUUCAAAUAUAAUAUUUGAUUAUUUAAAAAAAUUAUAAUAAUUAAUUAAAUAAUUUUAUUUUUAAUUAUUAUUUAUUUUUCAAAUAAAAAUUUAAAAAAUAAUACAAAAACUGACUACUUUUCAAAUAAUAAUAAUCAUAUCAAUUAAUGUGACAUUUUUUGAAUUUUAAAAAUUAAAUAAAUUUAUUUUGUUAAGUAAUUUUUGCAUAUAUUCUUAAAAUAUAUUUAAUUAUCAAUUAUUAUGAUUUAUUAUUCAAAAAUAUAAUUUUAUUUCAAAAAUUUAAUUCACAAUCAAAAUUAAACUCUACAAAUGUAUAAAUUAAUAAAGAGCCUGAAAAAUCAAAUUCGAUGGGCCUAUAUUGCUGUUUUUUAUAUAACACGGGCUUAGUAUUUGUUAUUUUUUUUUUAUCUCAAACAAUGUGAUCCAAAUAGAAUUUAGAUAAUCAAUCAUACUUUUAAUACAUUUUUAGAUAUUUUAAGUUGUUAACUAUUGUAGUUUAUAAUAUUUUUUUUGUUAUCAAAUAAUAUAUGUUACUCUCCUUGUCCAAACUUUUGUGGAGUUGAUAGUCAAUUAUAUUUUAAAAAUAAUUUAAGUUUUUAAUUAUUGUGAUUUAUUAUACUAUUCUUCUAUUCCAAUUUAAAUGUCAUUGAUAUAAUUUUGAGAGUCAAUCAAAUAUUCCAUAUCUUUUAAAAAUUUUCAAGUUUUGUUAAAUAUUUCAUAAUUCAUAUUCAAGUUGUUAUUGAGAGUCAAUCAAAUAUUUGAUAGUCAAUUGCAUAUUUUAAAUAAUCUAAGUUUUUAAUUAUUGUGGUUUAUAACACUUUUUCUUAUAUUCCAAUUUAAGUGGCACAAUGCUUAGACUAUAAUAAUUAAUUAGAGGUGAUAUAGUAAAAUUACGAUUGAAGCAAAGAAACAAACAUAUGUCUUAAAUUAUUCAUAAUAACUAAUAAGAAGUGAUAUAACAAAAUUACUACAAAAAGUCCAUGUGAUUUUUUUUUUAAAAAAUGGGCCUCAAAUAAGACGUGAAGUUAAUUUAAAACAUCAAAAGUUAAGUUAUUAUUUAUAUCUAUUUUAUUAUUAAAUAUAUAUUUUUGUAAUAUUUAGAUGACUUAUAAUAAUUAAUUAGGAUGAUAUUUAGUAAAAUUACGAUUGAAACAGUUGAAGCAGACAUGUCAUAUAUGUGUGUGUAUUUAUAGGUAUAUAAAUAUAUAGUAUAUACAUAUAAUAUAGUGAACGUGUAUUAAUGACAUAAGAUAAACCAACCGAUAAUUCAACUGAGUAUUUGUGAAUUACGUUACGUUGUAUAUUAUUAUGGGGUAGUAAAAUCGGGUAUGUAAUAUAUAUAGUAUGUAUUUGAACGGUGAUAGCCAAUUGAAUAUAUUACUUUAUUAAAAAAUAAUCUAAUAUAUUGUGUUUUAAAAUUAUAUUGAUUACAAGUAGUCAAUAACCAAUACAAUAAUAAUAAAAAUCAAUAAAUUAGGCCAGGAAAUCAAAUUUCAAUAUUUGACCUAUAUAUGUACAUGCCAAUCGAAUAUAUGUAUAUAUCUCGUGUAGUGACGUAUGCAGUAAUCAAAAUCUAUGUAACUGAAUCUAAUUAACCGAUAAUCCAACUGGAUCUAUGAAAGGUGGAAUUGUGUUUUGAAUAUAGUUAAGCGUGGUCACUAGAGAAGUGAGUUAUAAUUAGAACUGAGUUAUUUCAAUUUUACGUAACAUUAAUUUUACAUGCUUAGUUUAUUUUGAUAUCAACAUCUAAUUUUUACACAUUAUUCUUAUAUUAAAUACAUAUUUACGUGUCACAUUCAUAAUUUAGAAAAAAUGCAUAAAUUGUUUCAUUGUCUUUUAGCAUCAUUUUUAUAAUAUCUUACGAUAUAUUUUUUUGUGAUUUUAUUAAUAUUUAUUAAAUUAUUUUUUACGUAAUUUUGCACACUCAUAUUUUUGCAAAUACAUUUUUUCAUUAUUUAGUACUAUUUAUUUAUUCAUAUUAUUAUUAUUAUUAUUUAUUAACAUUGUUGUAAUUAUUAUUAUUAUUAUUUAUUAUUGUUACAUUAUACUUACUAUUUUUAAAUAACGGCCUAAAUUGAAAUCUUUGCAUAAAUUUAUUUAUCUUUUAACCCAAUUUUUACUCAAUUUCUUACAAUCUUUCUAGCCAAAAUCAUUUCAAUUCUAGCCAUUUUACAUCAAAUUCAACCAUAAGCACUUCAAGUUGAAUUAUUGAACCCCUUAUUUUAAUCUCAGCUGUUGAUCAUAACUGAUCCAACGACUGAGAUGAUCUCAACCCUUUCUUUCUUAUUUAAAACCAAAACAAAAACCCUAACCCUAUUUCUUAAAACCAAAUCAUCUGUCGCCCCCCUCUCUCUUCUCUUCAAUCGGCGUUCAUGGUUGUCGCUAGCCAUUCCAGCACCGGCGAAGCCCUCUUCCUUCUUCCUCUCUUCCCUCGUAUCCUCCUCCCACAAACUACACCAACAACAUCGGCGAGACCCCGAUCCCCCGCCGCUCCAGCGCUGCUAGUGCCGCUCUAAUGACGAUCAAACGACCCCUCGUGCCACCAGCCUGCUCUGGCGUCAUCCCUCCGUUCACCCGCUCCGCCGUCAUCUUCCACCGGCUCUGUCGUCGCCGUCUCAGCCACCAACGCCGGCAGCUAUGCCUCCAUACGACAAGAAUUCAACCAGCAACCCCCCCCCCCCAUCUAACUACGUUUGAUCGAUAGACACCAUAACAGGUUCCGUCCAUAAUUAAUUUUAUAUUAGUCUUUGUUUGAUUUGAGUGGAGAGUUAGGUUGGAGUUCUUGAAAAUUACGUUGGAGUUCUUUUAAUUUACUUUCUUGCUUUUGGUUUUUUAUUUUGUACAUUAUUCAAUUCCCAAAGAACAUAUGAAGAUUGUUCCUAGAGGUAGAUUUGUUAAAGCUUAGCCCUGAAAAUAAAUUUGUUGAAAGAUUUUGAAUUAUUUGCUAUGUGUCUACCUCUCAUUUUAGGAUUUUCUUGAGAUCUUUCUAGUUUUCUAAAUAUAGUUUAGUGUAGUCGCUAGAGAAGUGAGUUAGUGAGUGAAAAAUGUUUAAGUGUAGGUACAUGAAAUGUGGACUUGUGUUUUAAAUUUAGUCAAUUGUGGUCAUUUGAGAAGUGAGUUAGUGACUUGUAAAUAUUUAAGUGUAGGUACUUAAAAUGUGGACGUGUGUUUUAAAUUUAGUUAAGUGUAGCCAUUUGAGAAGUGAAUAAGUGACUUGAAAAUAUUUAAGUUUAGGUACCUGAAAUGUGAACUUCUAUUUUGAAUUUAGUUAACAGUGGUCACUUGAGAAGUGCAUUAGUGAGUCGAAAAUAUUCAAGUGUAGUUACUUGAAUGGUGGACUUGUGAAGUGACUUAGUGACUUGAAAAUGUGUAGGUAUAGGUAUUUGAAAUGUGAAAUUUUCAUUUUGAAUUAAGUUUAGUUUGGUAACUUGUGAAGUGAAUUAGUGACUUGAAAAUGUUUAGGUGCAGGUACUUGAAAGGUGAACUUUUCAUUUUGAAUUUAUUUUAGUUUGGUAAAUUGUGAAGUGACUUAGUGACUUAAAAAUUAUGAAUUAGUGACUUUUGUUAUGAAUAUAGGUACUUGAAAUGUGAAUAUGUGUUUUGAUUUUAGUAAAGUGUGGUCACUUGAGAAGUGAAUUAGUGACUUGAAAAUGUUUAAGUGUAGGUACUUGAAAUGUGAACUUUUGUGACUUGAAUUUAGUAAGUGACUUGAAGAUUUUUUAAAUGUAGGUGCUUGAAAUGUGGACUUAUGUUUUGAAUUUAGUUAAGUUUGGCCACUUGAGAAGUGCAUUAGUGAGUCAAAAAUGUUUAAGUGUAGUCGACUCUAAUUACCCACCCCUACUGUUAUACAUGGACACGGUGGAAUGUUGUGGAAUAAUAAGAAAACGGAGAACAAAUUCUCAAGUUUAUCGUGUGUAAACUUUAUUCAAUGCUGAGCAAUUGACAUAUUUUGAAUGGCGAGAAGAUUAACAUACUUAAAAUUUAUGGGCUUUGCAUCCUAUGGAAGCAGAAGAAGGUCAAUUUCAGCAUUAGUAAGCACAUGAUAAGAGGGGUACUAAACUACAUUAUUCAAAUUUAUGGGGUCCCUCUAAGCUUCCAUUGAAAGAAGGAAAGAUGUAUCCUCUCACAUUCAGUGAUAAUUUUUCACAAAAGGUUUGAGUGCAUUUCUUGAAGGGAAAAAUGAUGAUUUUAAAGAGUUUAAGGAGUAAAAUAUAUUGAUUGAGAAUCAACAGAAUGAAAAAUCAAGUAUCUUCACACAGACAAUGGCUUAGAGUUUUGUUCUGAAGAGUUUAAUAAUUUAUGCAAGGUUCAUGUGAUCUCAAAACAUAAGACAGCCAAGCACACCCUACAACAAAAUGAAGUUGUCGAGAGGAUGCAAAGAGUUCUUCUUGAAAAGGCUCAUUAUAUUUUCCUACAAGCCCAAAUGUCCAAGUGUUUUGGGCUGAAGUAGUUUACUUUUAAAGGUGAACUUUUCAUUUUGAAUUAAGUUUAGUUUGGUAACUUGUGAAGUGAAUUAGUGACUUGAAAAAUAUUUAGGUGUAGGUACUUGAAUUAUGAAUUAGUGACUUUUGAUUUGAAUUUAGAUACUUGAAAUAUGAACUUGCGUUUUUUAUUUUUGUAAAGUGUGGUCACUUGAGAAGUGAAUUAGCAACUUGAAAAUCUUUAGGUGUAGGUACUUGAAAUGUGAACUUUUCAUUUUGAAUGAAGUUUAGUUUGGUAACUUAUGAAGUGAAUUAGUGACUUGAAAUAUUUAGGUGUAGGUACUUGAAAUAUGAAGUGAAUUAGUGACUUGAAAAAUAUAUAGGUGUAGGUACUUGUAUUAUGAAUUAGUGACUUUUGUUUUGAAUUUAGAUACUCGAAGUGUGAACUUGCGUUUUCAUUUUAGUAAAGUGUGGUCACUUGAGAAGUGAAUUAGGGACUUGAAAAUGUUUAGGUGUAGGUACUUGAAAUUUGAAAUUUUCAUUUUGAAUUAUGUUAUGUUUGGUAACUUAUGAAGUGAAUUAGUGACUUGAAAUGUUUAGGUGUAGGUACUGGAAAUAUGAAGUGAAUUAGUGACUUAAAAAAUGUUUAGGUGUAGGUACUUGAAAUUUGAAAUUUUCAUUUUGAAUUAUGUUAUGUUUGGUAACUUAUGUAUUUACUCAGUUUUAUAGUUACUAGAGAUGUUAUCUUCGAUAAAACCUCUGUACUUGAUCCUUAUAGAAUUUCUAUAGAGUCAAUAAGAAAUAAGAACCUGCGUUUUCAUUUUAGUAAAGUGUGGACACUUGAGAAAUGAAUUAGCGACUUGAAAAUGUUUAGGUGUAGGUACUUGAAAUGUGACAACAAGUGGGUGGAGCUACUGGAAGAUCUUACCAAGGAUAAGGAUCAAUAGACUAAAAUUGAUGAGUCAAAAGAUGUAGAUCUUAAAGAACUUGUUGUCAAUGAACCAUACACAAUUAUGAAGGAAAGGAACAAAAGAGAGAUAAAAAAUUAAAAUGCUUUAUAGAUCAAGAAAAUCUGAUUGGAUAUGCACCUGUAGCUUCAGAAGAAGAGAAUAAGGAUCUUGAGCUCUCCUCAUAUAUUUAAGCAACUAAAUUUAGAUACUCGAAAUGUGAACUUGCAUUUUUAUUUUAGUAAAGCGUGGUCACUUGAGAAGUGAAUUAGCGACUUGAAAAUGUUUGGGUGUAGGUACUUGAAAUGUAAACUUUUUAUUUUGAAUUAAGUUUAGUUUGGCAACUUAUGAAGUGAAUUAGUGACUUGAAAUGUUUAGGUGUAGGUACUUGAAAUAUGAAGAGAAUUAGUGACUUGAAAAAUGUUUAGGUGUAGGCACUUGAAUUAUGAAUUAGUGACUUUUGUUUUGAAUUUAGAUACUCAAAACGUGAACUUGCGUUUUCAAAGGAAAUUAACUAUAAUGAGAUCGUCUCUUCAGUCAUGAAACAUAGCUUAAUUUGCAUGCUACUAGCAUUGGUUGCCCAAAUUUGACUUGGAUCUUCAACAACUUGAUGUCAAAAUUGCUUAAAAUGUGAACUUUUCAUUUUGAAUUAAGUUUAGUUUGGUAAGUUAUGAAGUGAAUUAGUGACUUGAAAUGUUUAGGUGUAGGUACUUGAAAUAUGAAGUGAAUUAGUGACUUGAAAAAUGUUUAGGUGUAGGUACUUGAAUUAUGAAUUAGUGACUUUUGUUUUGUUUAUUCCAUGAGGAAUUCAAUAAGCUUUCCAUCGAUAUAAGAUUUUCCCUAAUCUGAUAACCGGGAAAGAAGUUACGACUAUUCCAAGUUUUCCUCUUAAAACAGCGCCAUAUUAGUCAGUGGCACAUCGUGCCACAAGCGAAAAUGGCAAUUGUUCUUUUUCCAGUGUCUCAACGUAAUUUCUCCGUGCCGCACCAAAGUUCUAGGUUGCAAACGAAGUAGCAACGCGAUGGCUCCACGUCGCAUCAUCCCCCAAUUUCCCAAUUGUCAAAUUCCAGUGACAUGGCGCCGUUAUAGUAAAGUGUGGUCACUUGAGAAGUAAGUUAGUGACUUGAAAAUGUUUAGGUGUAGGUUCUUGAAAUGUGAACUUUUCACUUUGAAUUAAGUUUAGUUUGACAACUUAUGAAGUGAAUUAGUGACUUGAAAUGUUUAGGUGUAGGUACUUGAAAUAUGAAGUGAAUUAGUGACUUGAAAAAUGUUUAGGUGUAGGUACUUGAAUUAUGAAUUAGUGACUUUUGUUUUGAAUUUAGAUACUCGAAAUGUGAACUUGCGUUUUCAUUUUAGUAAAGUGUGGUCACUUGAGAACUGAAUUAGUGACUUGAAAAUGUGUAGGUGUAGGUACUUGAAAUGUGAAUUUUUCAUUUUAAAUUAAGUUUAGUUUGGUAACUUAUGAAGUGAAUUAGUGACUUGAAAUCAAUCUUCGCUAAACAAAGAACUAAGGUAUGUGUUGUGUUGAUUUAUGGAUUCCUUUCAUCCAUAAAGCUCAAGAACCCUAUUUUAAAUUAUGAAACAUGAUAUUUAUGUUGUGAGUUGGUUGUAACUAUGUUUAUCUUGUUAUAUGAUUCCCAAGUUAGAAUAUUUAUUUGUUUUUCAUGAAAAUACAUUAGCAAGUGAGUGAAAUCCAUAAAUUAUUCUUGAAUUAUGAAUUAGUGAAUUUUGUUUUGAAUUUAGAUACUCGAAAUGUAAACUUGCAUUUUCAUUUUAGUAAAGUGUGGUCACUUGAGAAGUGAAUUAGCGACUUGAAAAUGUUUAGGUGUAGGUAUUUGAAAUGUGAACUUUUCAUUUUGAAUUAAGUUUAGUUUGGUAACUUAUGAAGUGAAUUAGUGACUUGAAAUAUUUAGGUGUAGGUACUUGAAAUAUGAACUUUUGUGACUUGAACUAAUUACUUGAAUGUGAUUGAUUGUGUAGAUAGAAUCUGAGUAUAGCUGGAUAUAUCAACAAAAUAUUGAUAGUAGAAUUGUUGAGGCUGAGAACGAGGAUGCGGAAGAUGAGUUUUUUAGUCUUUUGUAUAUUUUGUAGUUUGAAUUUGGAACCUCGAUAAAUUUUGUAAUUAGUUUGAUUUUUAAUGUUUGUAUUCUUAUGUUGGUUGAUUGUAAUUAAAUGAUUGGUGGUUUGUAUUGUAAAUAAUUUGAUUUUUAAUUUUGUAAAUAAUUUGAUUUUUAAUGUUUGU
This 12037-nucleotide long non-coding RNA is filed under the name Capsicum annuum. RNAcentral's name for it is "long non-coding RNA (CANN_LNC016197)". Lineage: Eukaryota; Viridiplantae; Streptophyta; Magnoliopsida; Solanales; Solanaceae. The record is from RNAcentral.